CAGGCCUAACACAUGCAAGUCGAGGGGUAGAGGCUUUCGGGCCUUGAGACCGGCGCACGGGUGCGUAACGCGUAUGCAAUCUGCCUUGUACAAAGGGAUAGCCCAGAGAAAUUUGGAUUAAUACCUUAUAGUAUACUGAUGUGGCAUCACAUUAAUAUUAAAGAUUUAUCGGUACAAGAUGAGCAUGCGUCCCAUUAGCCAGUUGGUAUGGUAACGGCAUACCAAGGCAAUGAUGGGUAGGGGUCCUGAGAGGGAGAUCCCCCACACUGGUACUGAGACACGGACCAGACUCCUACGGGAGGCAGCAGUGAGGAAUAUUGGACAAUGGGCGCAAGCCUGAUCCAGCCAUGCCGCGUGCAGGAUGAAGCAUCUAUGGUGUGUAAACUGCUUUUAUACGGGAAGAAACCCUGGCUCGUGAGCCAGAUUGACGGUACCGUAGGAAUAAGGAUCGGCUAACUCCGUGCCAGCAGCCGCGGUAAU
RNAcentral lists this ribosomal RNA (480 nucleotides) under uncultured bacterium. Its description in RNAcentral is "bacterial SSU rRNA". It matches the Rfam family "Bacterial small subunit ribosomal RNA", at positions 43 to 524 of the family's 1533-position model. The record is from RNAcentral.